AACAAUUGCCACGGCAACAGGAUUCAGAGCCCACCCUGAUCAGAGCUGCAUUUCAGACAAAUAAGAAGGUGAAUAAAACUUCAUGCCUGGAACCUAUUACCGAUGAGCACAGGAUGUGGAAGCCAGAAGAUCUAAAAGCGAUACUGACAAGAAAGACUGGAAAAGUCACAGCUUGGCCAACUUGUUUGUCAAUGAUUCGCUUGAGGAGAAUAGGACCUCCCUUAGUCUUCACUAUCCAAAGGGUAGAAGCAGCUUUCCUCUGUCUGAAAGGAAAAGUUACUGAAGCAAAUCUUACAGUGCUGUCUUGGCAGGGCACCAAGUAGGCAACAGUUGGAGAGCGUUCCCUGAUCCAGCCAGGCUAUGUGACACACACAUAAAACGUUACACAGAACAGGCUGACAAGAGGUGCGUGCACAACGCGCUAGAAUAAAGCUGUAAAAUGUAAAACA
Pelodiscus sinensis (Chinese soft-shelled turtle) is the source of this 449-nucleotide long non-coding RNA. RefSeq lists it as uncharacterized. Lineage: Eukaryota; Metazoa; Chordata; Testudines; Trionychidae. The record is from RefSeq and is a predicted model, not a curated record.